UGGAACAGCGAGAACAGUAUGGAAGUCGAAGUAGUUGUGUUCGUUAUGGUGCUUUAUUGUUGUGCAACUGCGAUUUUUACAUCCAUAUUGGAAAAGAGAUCAGCAUGCUUGGAAAGGGAGAUAGAAUGUGCAGAGAUGGAAAGAUCUGAGAGGAGGAGAGGGCUGCUACAACGAAUAAGGGAACUCGAUUUGAGGUUGGCUCGUGUUAGGCAGUGGCACAACAGACGAAGAAGGAUUCUUCGAUACUAUCGUGCACGACGUAGUUCCACGGUAACUGUUUGGCUUCGCAACAGAGCAAGACGACUUGUGGCGGAAAACGCUACUUGAUGACCAACUUGCAAAAGGUUUCCGAAUGCCGUAAGCCGUGCUUCUGAAGCUAUUGCAUGUGUCAUCCUGACUCGGCAGAGGUAUGACCCUUUAUGGAAGCACACUACAUCUCGGGUGGCCUUUGGCGUCAGAGCUUUGCUCCACAGUGGGGAGCUCUUUUGGUGUUACACACAACGCUGGAAAGGGCGUCGAGUAUGGUGGGGGGAUUCCCUACUGAUGUCAGUUCUGAUAUCAGUCAUGUAAACGAACUGACUGGCAUUCUACCCAGUUCACAAAUGAAGAGUAGGCCUAUGAGACCGCUGAGGGAUUGGUUUUACAGGGAAUGUUGUCACUUGCUGUCUUCACUUGUGUGAUGAUCAAUUCUAUGGUAGAGUUUACUACUGGUCAGCACUCUGAAUACCAGGGGCACCAGAUUACUCUGAUCACUGUGGCUUUAUCGUUUCAAUCUGUCAUUUUUUAUGUUUUCUUUGUCAACAUAAUGAGUGGACGUCCGUUGAUAUGGUACAACCUAGAAUUAUGAUUGGAUUGGCAUUGCCUGUGUUUGACAAUAAACUCAAAUAAUGUA
Long non-coding RNA from Sardina pilchardus (European sardine), 892 nucleotides. RefSeq lists it as uncharacterized. The transcript has 2 exons. NCBI's taxonomy places the organism in Eukaryota, Metazoa, Chordata, Actinopteri, Clupeiformes, Clupeidae. The record is from RefSeq and is a predicted model, not a curated record.